UUAUUAUUAUUAUUAUUAUUAUUAUUAAUGUAAUAAAUGUUUUUGUUCUUUAAAAAAAAAAAAAGAGCCUCUCUCUGGACGAACGGGGCAACUGCUAUAGUGUUCGAAAAUAUGACACAUUCGUUUUUCCAAAACUGGAAGGCCAGGGUAUAAUGAUAUAGGUCUCUGUAUGUUUUUUUUCUCCAAAACUAGCACUGUAUCAAUGCUUAUGUUCUACGUGAAACACACUUCUUCAUGAACGAUGCACUACCUCAGAACAUACAGUGCUCAUAAGUUUGCAUACCCUGGCAGAGAUUGUGAAAUUUUGGCAUUGAUUUUGAAAAUAUGAUUGAUCAUGUAAACUUUAUUUUAGGAUAGUGAUCAUAUGAAGCCUAUUAUUAUUACAUAAUUGGUUGGCUCCUUUUUAAGUCAUCAUGAUAACAGAAAUCACCCAUGAAUGUUUGGCCUUGUGACACACACAGGUGAAAAUGGCAAUUAAAGGUGAAUUUCCCACACCUGUGGCUUUUGGAAUUGCAAUUAGUGUCUGUGCAUCAGUAGUCAAUGAGUUUGUUAGCUCUCAUGUGGAUGCACUGGACUGGCUAGAUACUGAGCCAUGGGGAGCAGAAAAGAACGGUCUAAAGACCUGCGUAACAAGGUAGUGGACUUUUAUAAAGAUGGAAAAGGAUAUAUAAAGAUCCAAAGCCUUGCAAAUGCCAGUCAGUACUGUUCAAUCACUUAUUAAGGAGUGGAAUAUUUGGGGAUCUAUUGAUGCCAAGGUCAGGUAGACCAAGAAAGAUUUCAGACAAUACUCCCAUUAGAAUUGUUCGGGAUACAAAGAAAAACCCACAGGUAACCCCAGGAGAAACACAGUGGGGCAAAAAAGUAUUUAGUCAGCUACCAAUUGUGCAAUUUCUCCCACUUAAAAUGACGAGAGAGGCCUGUCAUUUUCAUCAUAGCUACACUUCAACUAUUAGAGACAAAAUUAGGAAAACAAAUCCAGAAAAUCACAUUGUAGUAUUUUGUUUGUAGGUGACCAAAUACUUAUUUUACCUAGGAAUUUACCAAUAAAUUCAUUAAAAAAUCCUACAAUGUGAUUUUCUGGAUUUAUUUUUCUCAUUUUGUCUCUCAUAGUUGAAGUGUACCUAUGAUGAAAAUUACAGGCCUCAUCUUUUUAAGUGGGAGAACUUGCACAAUUGGUGGCUGACUAAAUACUUUUUUUUGCCCCACUGUACAAGCUGCUCUGGAAAAAGACGGUGUGGUUGUUUCAAGGAGAACAAUACAAUGAUACGUGAACAAAACUGAGCUGCAUGGUCGAGUUGCCUUUACUGCGCCAAUGCCCGGUUACAAUAUGCCCAAAAACACCUUGACACAUCUCACAGUUUCUGGCACACUGUAAUUUGGAGUGACGAGACCAAAAUAGAGCUUUAUGGUCACAACCAUAAGCGCUAUGUUUGACGAGGCGUCAACAGUGCCUAUAGUGAACAGAAUACCCUCCGCACUGUGAGGUUUCCUGGUGGCUCACUGAUGUUUUGGGGGGUGUGUGAGCUCUAAAGGCAUGGGGAAUCUUGUGAAAAUGGAUGGCAAGAUAAAUGCAGCAUGAUCUCAGAAAAUACUGGCAGACAGUUUGCAUGAAAGCUGCACAUGGUACACUCUUGGACUUUCCAGCACAACAAUGACCCUAAGCACAAGGCCAAGUUGACCCUCAUGUGGUUACAGCAGAAAAAGGUGAAGGUUCUAGAGUGACCAUCAGUCUCCUGACCUUAAGAUCAUCGAGCUACUCUGGGGGGGAUCUCAAACGUGCAGUUCAUGCAAGACGACCAUAGACUCUGCAUGACCUGGAGGCAUUUUGCCAAGAUGAAUGGGCAUCUAUACCACCUGCAAGAAUUUGGGGCCUCAUAGACCACUAUUACAAAAGACUGCAUGCUGUCAUUGAUGCUAAAGGGGGCAAUACAGAGUAUUAAGAACUAAGGGUAUGCAGACUUUUGAACAGGGGUCAGUUUUAAUAGCAGAAUUUACUAGCUUGCAACAAUCAGAAUUAAUGGGAAUUCAUCACAUUGGUUUGACAAUGUGCGGUUCCCAGUAGUGAUGAUAAAAUGAAAUCUAGUUCACGGACUACUUUUUUCGUAGGCUUCCAUUUUCAGACUUUGGCUCAUCGUCCUACAGAUUGACUCGAGUGUUUGCAUCAAUCAACUUUGCUUGACUGACCAUCAGGUUUGCGGGGAAAAUUUUGAUGUUGCUGACUUUACUAAGAAUGUACAACAAAAAGGAAAAUACUAAAUAUAAUUUCUUUUAAAUAUGCCUGUCCGCCGUGUUGGACAUGCAGCGCAACCAAACAGCCCUGGAGUACAGGUGUGGGGCCAAAUCCUAAUCAUUAGCCUAGUAUGAAAUUAAACCUACUUUGGGGAGGCAACAUUUUAUUUUCAUUCAUUGCAAUUAUCAGAGGAGCCCAAGGUUUUUCAAAAUUGUAUAGGAAUGCAACUGACAUGGCUGUUCCAAACAGGAGAAAUUGUGCUAAUGCUAAGGUAGUAGGUAUUUCAGUACCUCCACAUAUCAAUGCUGCAGGAAAUGGUUUACGACAGUAUUAUCUAAAUAGCUAUUACAUGCCUACUUACGGGUUUGAGAGUUGUUUGGUCCCUCCGGCCUGUGCCUAUUUAUUUUGGGGAUGUGGAAGUUUUGACAGCCUGAAAGUCAGUGCCGUCUGUUGUGCACACUGGAGCCGAUUGAGACUCAUCCACGGACACGUCUAGGUUCUCGAUGGCAUUAGGUAACAAUAAAAUCAAAUUCUUACAGCACAAACUGUCCUCUUCACUGGGCAUCUGCUUACACCUCUGGCAAGAACACCAAAAGUCCACCAAAGUUUUUGGUCAGGCCUGGGCUGCAAAGUUGGGUAAUAACAGAUCUUCACCUUUCCUCUCAUCCAUUGCUUCUAAUUCCUUCUUCCUUCUCUAGCUCAAACCUGUAGUCAUGCAAUCGUCUUUGUGUUCCAUCGUUUGUCAAACAAAAAAUAGUUGUAUUAGCUGCUUAUAAACAGACACAAAUGGAGUACUAGGUAACGUGGGCUACAGUUUUGUAAACAAAGCCUGUGACUGGAUCCAGCCUCCUCGCAAACACAUUCAUCUGUGCGGCAUUAGCUAAUACAAAUCAUUAUCCAGAAAGAAUAAACAGCGAUAACCAUUGAUGCAAUGCUUGUUUUGGCACAACUUGUUUUUAGAGAACAUAAAGAGACCUAUAUCAAUAUACCCUGGCCUUCCCGUUUUGGAAAACAAAUGUUUCAUAUAUUUUCCAACGCUAUAGCGGUUGCCCCGUUCCACUGUAGCCUGGAGAGAGGCUUCCUUUCAAAAAAAUCGAACAAACUCAAAACUGUAAUAAUUCGAAAAAGAAGUGUCUCCACAGUCCAGGAUUAUCCUAGAUCAGUGGUUCCCAACCAGGGGUACUAGGACCCCUGGGGGUACUUGGCCUUUCCACAGGGGGUACUUGAAAACACUCAUGACACCAUAGACUUACUAGUGAAAUGAACAUGAGGGGGUACUUCAGGGGUACUCCAAGCAGUGCAAAUUCUUUUUGGGGGUACAGUAACUGAAAAGGUUGGGAACCACUGUCCUAGAUAAUCAAAAAUGGCAAACACUUAUUUAACUCCAAAUAAUUUGAAGCCCUACUCCCUACGUGUGUUAAUAGGGAUAUUUUACCAUGCACUGGUAUAAUUGAGCUUGUUCUACAAACUUUUAUAUAAUAUAACUUAAUAUAUAUAAAAAACGUAAUAUUAAGUUAAUACACUGCUCAAAAAAAUUAAGGGAACACCUUAAUCACACAGCAGAUAUUGAUGAAUUAAAUACAUUAAAAAAUACAAAGCUUUACUGUACAUUGUGUAAUUUAGUUCUCAACGAAUGAUGUAACAACGUUCAAUGGAAACCAAAGUCACCAACCGAUUUGAGGGCUGGAUUGAAACUCUCGUUAAAUCAAAAUAAACAAUUGAAAUCACAGGCUGUUCCCACUUGUGUGAAUUUCAUCAUGGCAACACAAUGUGACUCAGUAGUGUGUGUGGCCCCCACGUGCCUGUGUGCACCCCUGACAACAUCUGGGCAUGCUCCUGAUGAAGGUGGAUGGUGUCCUGGCGGAUCUCCUCCCAGACCUGGAUCAGGGCAUCAGUGAACUCCUCGACACCAACGUACGUUCUGAAGAUGGGCCUGAAGGUUUCAUACCGGUACCUAAAAGCAGUCAGGGUACUGUUGGCUAGCAUGUGGAGGUCUGUGCGACCCUCCAAGGAUAUGCCUCCCCAGACCAUCACUGACCCACCGCCAAAGCGGUCAUGCUGGAUGAUGUUGCAGGCAGCAUAAUGUUCACCACGGCAUCUCCAGAUUCCUACGUCUGUCACGUGCUCAGUGUGAACCUGCUCUCAUCUGUGAAAAGAAUGGGAUGCCAGUCGAGAUGCACGGUGCUGGGCUGUGAGCACAGGUCCCACUAGAGGACGAGCCCUCAUGCCACCCUAAUGAGUCUGUUUUGGAGUUUGGUUCAGAAACAUGCACACCAGUAGCCUGUUUUGAGGUCAUUCUGUAGGGCUCUGCCAGUGCUCCUCUUCUUCCUCCUCGCACAUAGCAGACAACAGUCCUGCUGCUGGGUUGAUGCAUUUUUAUGGGACUGUCGAACUCUCCUCAUGUAACAGCCCGUCUCCUGGAAUCUCCUUCAUGCUGUUGAGACUGUACUAGGGGAUGCAGCAAACCUUGUGAUGGCACGUAUGGAUGUGCCAUCCUGGAGAAGCUGGACUACCUGUGCAACCAGAAUGGGCUGCAGGUACCACCUCAUGCUACCAGUAGUGCCAAAGACACUAGCAAAACACAAACUAGAGAAGAAUCCAUCAGGAAGAAUAAGGAGAGAGCAAUUGUAUGUGGCCACCACCUGCAAAACCAUUCCCUUUUUGGGGGUUGUCUUACUUUUGCCUCUCCAGGGCACCUGUUGUCACUUUCAUUUGCACCAAAACCGGUGAUAUUGAUUCACAAUUGCUUAUGCUUCCUAACUGGACAGAUUGAUAUCCCUGAAGUUUAAUUGACUUGGUGUUAUACUGUGACGAUUAUUUGUUCCCUUAAUUUUUUUGAGCUGUGUAAUAUAACUUUUGAAUAUGUUACUUAAUGUCAGAAUUAUUUUCCAGAACUUUCUAGAACUAUGCAGCAUUACUAAUUAAUAGUUAUCUUCAUUUAAAAUUGUAAGAAAAUUUGAUUUGGGGUGUGUCUAUUUUUGUACUCCAACUGGUUUGGCUAUUUAUUAUUUAGGGAUUAUUUAGGGACUAAAACGUGUUUCAAUACUAAAAAUGUUUUUGCAACUAGUAGCAUAUCUCACGUACAGUCUCUCUCACACUGUCACACACAACAUGACUCUUAAAUGACCUAGUCCGGGAAACUGGUUAUCUAUUCACGGACAUCCUUCCCGCCCUUCUCUGAAAAACAACCACACACACACACACACACACACACACACACACAUCUACAAACACACCAGGUGCCGUUCCCUAAACUAAAAUGAAAAGUUGUUAGGUACUUUAAGGUCCAUUUUGACAGUGACAUUUUAAAAUAUUUUGGCAUUGAAAUGACACUAGUGCAGACGGUCACCUGUCUUGAAAAUACAGCAGAGGUUUUAGUUUGGGGAACUUUGUUUUAGUGUUUCAAUCUAAAAUGUUUUUCUUUCUUUUGUUGGAGGAAAUGUAUAGAAAGACGUGGCAUGUUGCCAACCCCUUCUGUACUGGCACUUGGCUGGAAACCCUCAAAUACACACACCUCACUUUCCCAUUGAAAGGUUUGCACUAACAACAAAAAGCAAUAUCUGCAGUUUUGUGUGUUCUAGAAAUACGGGUACAGGCUGACCCCUAGGGGAGUUUUCUAGGAACAGUGAGAAAACUUAAAGGUGCCAUAUGUAAGAUUUUUACUGUAUUACUUGCAUGCAUAAACACAAAUGACCAUUAGACAUCUUAAGCAAUGUUUCAAACAUUGUUUUUCUACAAAAUAGUUCCAGAGUUAUUCCCCAUUUAAACUAUCUUGUCAGUUGCACUUUAGACACCCUCACAACUAUCCCUCCCAACCUGAACCAGCUAAUACCAUUGUGGACCAGUUGAGUCAUUGAUGAAAUUCAGUGAUAUAAAUGUUAGAGGCAGGUUUCUACACCGUGCCCCUAAAAACUAAUAGUGUUUUUCAUUUUUCCUGGUGUUUCUAAAAUCAGCAUUCAUCUUUAGGACAAAAAUCAUGUACCUAAUUUAUAGCUGUAUUGAGGAUCAUGUCCCUGUGCUGAAGAGAAUCCUGAUGUCAUGGUUUUUGAAAAAUAUUUGUAUUUAUUUAAAAAGGUAUAUUAAAGUGUUGUGCCUUUUUUCUUUUUCACACACUGAGGAGCAGGCAGACGGCAGCCAGUACCCACUUGGCAGGCUUCUCCUUGGUCUUAAGGUUGAAGGUCCAGAUGAAGGUGGGUCCCCUCAUGCGGGUCUUGUAGACAGGACACUCGUACAUGUUCUUGGUCUCCUGCCGGUCCACUGGUACUGCCUUGAUGAAGAUCACUGGCAUGUUGGGGGUCAGCUCCUUCAGUCGAGCAUCUGCUAUCACCCCCGUCUGGGUGUCCCAACGUGCCCCUGCACACACACACCGUAUGAACGUUUGAACGGGAACAAUCAUCAACCCCUGGGACGGUGGAUAUCUGCAUCACUGAACGAAUGGACCACUUUACCAUUGCUUGAAGAAUUAGCACUGUGUUUUUGUCAUGAAAAGUAGUAAAGUGUUUUUUAUUUGUGUUUUAAGUUAACUGAACAUUCAUAUAAACCUAUUUAUCUAACAGCAGCUGAGUACAUGUCAGCAGGAGGAAUGUUAGUGUGUUCGUUAACCUUUCCAAUAGUUCUGCAUUGACAGAGGGGAAGGUUUUGUAUCAUGAGAGGAGAUGCAUGAAGGUAAUGAAACCGGUGUGUAUGAACAUGUGGGUUCAUACAGUAAAUGCAUUUCACCUAAUUUCCAAAAAUGUAUUAAUAAGGGCCUGGGGAAAGAUUUCUGUAGUAAGUGCCAAUAAAAUGCAAUUAAAGCAAAAGGGCUGAGGUUUUCAUCUUGAAUCAGCCAUCAACCCAUUGUGAUGGGGGAAUGGAAUCUUGUAGUGAAACAGAUGUACGAGAAUAAUGUAAGUUGCUAUGGAAAAGCGAUUCAGUUAAAUCACUAAAAUGUAUGCAACUAUUCACAGAGACAAGCUUCACAGAAAUUGGCAAACCUGACUUACUGUCAGGAAUUCCAGUCCAGUCUGGCCCUAACCCUGUGUGGAAAGCAGUCCCAAACUGGACAAUUUUGCCCCCCAGAGAUUACUACAGUACUCCAACCAUCUCAUGCCUUGAUGUGUGUGUGGAUGACUAUCUUUG
This is a long non-coding RNA of Esox lucius (northern pike), 7348 nucleotides long. Lineage: Eukaryota; Metazoa; Chordata; Actinopteri; Esociformes; Esocidae. The record is from Ensembl.